Molecule: ribosomal RNA, 236 nt
Filed under: uncultured bacterium
Lineage: Bacteria
Description: partial 16S ribosomal RNA
Rfam family: Bacterial small subunit ribosomal RNA
Source: RNAcentral
UGAGUAACCUGCCCUUAACUCUGGGAUGAGCCUGGGAAACUGGGUCUAAUACCGGAUAUGACUCCUCAUCGCAUGGUGGGGGGUGGAAAGCUUUAUUGUGGUUUUGGAUGGACUCGCGGCCUAUCAGCUUGUUGGUGAGGUAAUGGCUCACCAAGGCGACGACGGGUAGCCGGCCUGAGAGGGUGACCGGCCACACUGGGACUGAGACACGGCCCAGACCUCCGUACGGGAGGCAG